RNAcentral lists this ribosomal RNA (496 nucleotides) under uncultured bacterium. RNAcentral's name for it is "partial 16S ribosomal RNA". It matches the Rfam family "Bacterial small subunit ribosomal RNA", at positions 28 to 506 of the family's 1533-position model. The record is from RNAcentral.
GAUGAACGCUGGCGGCGUGCCUAAUACAUGCAAGUCGAGCGAACAGACGAGGAGAUUGCUCCUCUGACGUUAGCGGCGGACGGGCGAGUAACAAGUGGAUAACAAUCUUAUAAGACUGGGAUAACUACGGGAAAAAGGAGCUAAUAACAGAUAAUACAUCCAACCGCUUGGAUCAAUAGUGCAAGACAGUUUUGCUGUCACUUAUAGAUGAACCCGGGCCGCAUUGGCUAGUUGGUAAGGUAACGGCUUACCAAGGAAACGAGGCGUAGCCGACUUGAGAGAGUGAUCGGCACACUUGAACCUGGACAAGGUUCCAGAUCCUUACGGGAGGUACAAGGAGGAAUUCUGCAGCAUUGGGCGAAAGCCUGACGAAGCAUCGCGGCGUGAGUGAUGAAGGUCUUCGGUUCGUAAAACUCUGUUAUUAGGGAAGAACAAAUGUGUAUGUAACUAUGCACGUCUUGACGGUACCUAAGCAGAAAGCCACGGUUAACUACUU